This 1038-nucleotide ribosomal RNA is filed under the name Acinetobacter sp. PT5I3.3HC. Its description in RNAcentral is "bacterial SSU rRNA". It matches the Rfam family "Bacterial small subunit ribosomal RNA", at positions 29 to 1064 of the family's 1533-position model. The record is from RNAcentral. Lineage: Bacteria; Pseudomonadati; Pseudomonadota; Gammaproteobacteria; Moraxellales; Moraxellaceae.
AUGAACGCUGGCGGCAGGCUUAACACAUGCAAGUCGAGCGGAGAGAGGUAGCUUGCUACUGAUCUUAGCGGCGGACGGGUGAGUAAUACUUAGGAAUCUGGCUAUUAGUGGGGGACAACAUUUCGAAAGGGAUGCUAAUACCGCAUACGUCCUACGGGAGAAAGCAGGGGAUCUUCGGACCUUGCGCUAAUAGAUGAGCCUAAGUCGGAUUAGCUAGUUGGUGGGGUAAAGGCCUACCAAGGCGACGAUCUGUAGCGGGUCUGAGAGGAUGAUCCGCCACACUGGGACUGAGACACGGCCCAGACUCCUACGGGAGGCAGCAGUGGGGAAUAUUGGACAAUGGGGGGAACCCUGAUCCAGCCAUGCCGCGUGUGUGAAGAAGGCCUUAUGGUUGUAAAGCACUUUAAGCGAGGAGGAGGGUACUGGUAUUAAUACUACCAGGUACUGGACGUUACUCGCAGAAUAAGCACCGGCUAACUCUGUGCCAGCAGCCGCGGUAAUACAGAGGGUGCGAGCGUUAAUCGGAUUUACUGGGCGUAAAGCGUGCGUAGGCGGCUAAUUGAGUCGGAUGUGAAAUCCCCGAGCUUAACUUGGGAAUUGCAUUCGAUACUGGUUAGCUAGAGUGUGGGAGAGGAUGGUAGAAUUCCAGGUGUAGCGGUGAAAUGCGUAGAGAUCUGGAGGAAUACCGAUGGCGAAGGCAGCCAUCUGGCCUAACACUGACGCUGAGGUACGAAAGCAUGGGGAGCAAACAGGAUUAGAUACCCUGGUAGUCCAUGCCGUAAACGAUGUCUACUAGCCGUUGGUCUCUUUGAGGGAUUAGUGGCGCAGCUAACGCGAUAAGUAGACCGCCUGGGGAGUACGGUCGCAAGACUAAAACUCAAAUGAAUUGACGGGGGCCCGCACAAGCGGUGGAGCAUGUGGGUUAAUUCGAUGCACGCGAAGAACCUACCUGGUCUUGACAUAGUAAGAACUUUCCAGAGAUGGAUUGGUGCCUUCGGGACUUACAUACAGGUGCUGCAUGGCUGUCGUCAGCUCGGU